This 450-nucleotide ribosomal RNA is filed under the name uncultured bacterium. RNAcentral describes it as "bacterial SSU rRNA". It matches the Rfam family "Bacterial small subunit ribosomal RNA", at positions 354 to 796 of the family's 1533-position model. The record is from RNAcentral.
GUGGGGAAUAUUGGACAAUGGGCGCAAGCCUGAUCCAGCAAUGCCGCGUGGGUGAAGAAGGCCUUCGGGUUGUAAAGCCCUUUUGUACGGAAAGAAAUCCUGGUGGUUAAUACCCGCCGGGGAUGACGGUACCGUAAGAAUAAGCACCGGCUAACUUCGUGCCAGCAGCCGCGGUAAUACGAAGGGUGCAAGCGUUAAUCGGAAUUACUGGGCGUAAAGCGUGCGUAGGUGGUUUCUUAAGUCUGUCGUGAAAGCCCUGGGCUCAACCUGGGAAUGGCAUUGGAUACUGGCGGGCUAGAGUGCGGUAGAGGAUAGUGGAAUUCCUGGUGUAGCAGUGAAAUGCGUAGAGAUCAGGAGGAACAUCCGUGGCGAAGGCGACUGUCUGGACCAGCACUGACACUGAGGCACGAAAGCGUGGGGAGCAAACAGGAUUAGAAACCCCUGUAGUCC